GAUGGCGCCUGUGAGCGUAAAACAAAUUCGUAAAACAAAUACGAAUAACAGAAUGCUUUCUGUUUGGUGGGAGGCAACACACACACACAAGAAGAGAUUCUGGAGAUAUUCCAUGGUUACCCUGCCAUGGUUGCUAUGCCCCCAAGUUCUCCCUACAGAUAUUUCCAUGGCUCAAGGGGUCCUGGGUGCCCUCCAUGCAGCUGGUUUACUGCUCUAUGUUGACUUAGACAGCAAAAACAGUACAACUUCGUAGUGUGGAUGUAGUUAUGAUGGUAUAAAGCUGCUGCUAUCAUAAGCUUUUAUAUCAGUCCUGUCAACAGGUCAGGACAUUUGAAUGUACGUGUGCUAUGCACUUGGGAAGCUAUUCCACCAGACUGUUGCUGGGGUCAUUGUUAAGGUUUCAUUGCAGGGUCAGUUUGAUGGAGUUGGGGUAUGUAACUGUUGGAGAUGGAAGUGAAACCCAACAGAGCAUCACAGUUUGUCGAUUAGAAUUGGGGGCAACAUGAAGAUGGAAAGAAACGCACAAGUCUUCCCCUUAACAUCUUAUGUACAUCCUUUUCCGGUUUUGGGAGGGUAGGUGUGCCCUACUGCAAUGAGACCUAGUUUUUAUCUGCUGAUUAUUACAUACAUUCAGUUAUUUAACUUGCAAACAAGUUUGCCAACUAGCGUCAACAUCACAGAAACCACCACCAGAAUUAACACUUGUCCCCUGAGAACUGAACGGUAUCAACCAGUUCAUUUCAGAAAGGCCAUUAAACAACAGGUAGACAAGUCCAGUUCUGGUCAGUGAUCUGAAGCAGUGAGCUAGAGGAGAAAACACUAUAACCCAUUACCCACCUUCUGAGCCAGCCAGUCCAUUUUUGUUUGUUUUCUUUACAGCAAUCUCUUGAGUGGUUGCAGAAAUGUAAACUGAAAGCGCUCCUGACAGAUUUAAAACAAUUAGGAAUGUCUUAAAGUCAGUCAAGCAGAGCUUUUGUUAUGAUAAUAAAGAAUGUUCUUUGCUGGUGUAUUUUCA
Molecule: long non-coding RNA, 1015 nt
Filed under: Chrysemys picta bellii (western painted turtle)
Lineage: Eukaryota; Metazoa; Chordata; Testudines; Emydidae
Description: lncRNA (ENSCPBG00000027377.1)
Source: RNAcentral